Long non-coding RNA from Etheostoma spectabile (orangethroat darter), 394 nucleotides. RefSeq lists it as uncharacterized. NCBI's taxonomy places the organism in Eukaryota, Metazoa, Chordata, Actinopteri, Perciformes, Percidae. The transcript has 2 exons. The record is from RefSeq and is a predicted model, not a curated record.
UUACUUCCAAUAAGCAGCCGAGAGUGUCUUUUGUUGCAAUAACAGUUACUGCUACAGUAUCCUAGAGCGCCAGGUGGAGUGGUGCUAAUGCAAACGUUAGAUAAAACAAAGUGAGUCCCCUGUACAGGGAGCACCCAGUCAUAUCAUAUAACUUGCUGUGCUUAGACUCAAUUUUUUCUUGUUGCCACGGAAACGACCGGUCUGGCUACUCCGCUUGUCAUUGGUUGGCUGUCAAAAAAAAGCGCUUGACGUAGGGCCUUUUUUUUCAAUUUCAAAAAGACACCCCGAGCUGCAGAGUAAAAGUCGGCGUGGCGUUUAAAAAAAACGCUCAGGACUUUUGAAAACACGGUUUACUCCAUAGGAUCAUAAUGUAAAACAGACGCUGGCAGCUUAA